RNAcentral lists this ribosomal RNA (253 nucleotides) under uncultured bacterium. RNAcentral describes it as "partial 16S ribosomal RNA". It matches the Rfam family "Bacterial small subunit ribosomal RNA", at positions 524 to 776 of the family's 1533-position model. The record is from RNAcentral.
UACGAGGGGGGCAAGCGUUGUUCGGAUUUAUUGGGCGUAAAGGGUGCGUAGGCGGUUUGGCAAGUCUGAUGUGAAAUCUAUGGGCUCAACCCAUAGUCUGCAUCAGAAACUGCCGGGCUUGAGUAUGGGAGAGGUGAGUGGAAUUUCCGGUGUAGCGGUGAAAUGCGUAGAUAUCGGAAGGAACACCUGUGGCGAAAGCGGCUCUCUGGGACGGUACUGACGCUGAGACGCGAAAGCGUGGGGAGCGAACAGG